Molecule: ribosomal RNA, 497 nt
Filed under: uncultured bacterium
Lineage: Bacteria
Description: partial 16S ribosomal RNA
Rfam family: Bacterial small subunit ribosomal RNA
Source: RNAcentral
GACGAACGCUGGCGGCGUGCCUAAUACAUGCAAGUUGAGCGCUGAAGGUUGGUACUUGUACCAACUGGAUGAGCAGCGAACGGGUGAGUAACGCGUGGGGAAUCUGCCUUUGAGCGGGGGACAACAUUUGGAAACGAAUGCUAAUACCGCAUAAAAACUUUAAACACAAGUUUUAAGUUUGAAAGAUGCAAUUGCAUCACUCAAAGAUGAUCCCGCGUUGUAUUAGCUAGUUGGUGAGGUAAAGGCUCACCAAGGCGAUGAUACAUAGCCGACCUGAGAGGGUGGUCGGCCACAUUGGGACUGAGACACGGCCCAAACUCCUACGGGGGGCAGCAGUAGGGAAUCUUCGGCCAUGGACGAAAGUCUGACCGGGCAACGCCGCGGGAGUGAAGAAGGUUUUCGGAUCGUAAAACUCUGUUGGUAGGGAAGAACGUUGGUGGGAGUGGAAAGCUCAUCAAGUGACGGUAACUACCCAGAAAGGGACGGCUAACUACGUG